AUUGAACGCUGGCGGCAGGCCUAACACAUGCAAGUCGAACGGUAACAGGAAACAGCUUGCUGUUUCGCUGACGAGUGGCGGACGGGUGAGUAAUGUCUGGGAAACUGCCUGAUGGAGGGGGAUAACUACUGGAAACGGUAGCUAAUACCGCAUAACGUCGCAAGACCAAAGAGGGGGACCUUCGGGCCUCUUGCCAUCGGAUGUGCCCAGAUGGGAUUAGCUAGUAGGUGGGGUAACGGCUCACCUAGGCGACGAUCCCUAGCUGGUCUGAGAGGAUGACCAGCCACACUGGAACUGAGACACGGUCCAGACUCCUACGGGAGGCAGCAGUGGGGAAUAUUGCACAAUGGGCGCAAGCCUGAUGCAGCCAUGCCGCGUGUAUGAAGAAGGCCUUCGGGUUGUAAAGUACUUUCAGCGGGGAUGAAGGGAGUAAAGUUAAUACCUUUGCUCAUUGACGUUACCCCCAGAAGAAGCACCGGCUAACUCCGUG
This 490-nucleotide ribosomal RNA is filed under the name uncultured bacterium. RNAcentral's name for it is "partial 16S ribosomal RNA". It matches the Rfam family "Bacterial small subunit ribosomal RNA", at positions 30 to 507 of the family's 1533-position model. The record is from RNAcentral.